Molecule: ribosomal RNA, 434 nt
Filed under: uncultured bacterium
Lineage: Bacteria
Description: partial 16S ribosomal RNA
Rfam family: Bacterial small subunit ribosomal RNA
Source: RNAcentral
AGCGAACGCUGGCGGCAGGCCUAACACAUGCAAGUCGAACGAACCUUUCGGGGUUAGUGGCGGACGGGUGAGUAACACGUGGGAACGUGCCUUUAGGUUCGGAAUAACUCAGGGAAACUUGUGCUAAUACCGAAUGUGCCCUUCGGGGGAAAGAUUAAUCGCCUUUAGAGCGGCCCGCGUCUGAUUAGCUAGUUGGUUGAGGUAAUGGCUCACCAAGGCGACGAUCAGUAGCUGGUCUGAGAGGAUGAUCAGCCACAUUGGGACUGAGACACGGCCCAAACUCCUACGGGAGGCAGCAGUGGGGAAUCUUGCGCAAUGGGCGAAAGCCUGACGCAGCCAUGCCGCGUGAAUGAUGAAGGUCUUAGGAUUGUAUAAUUCUUUCACCGGGGACGAUAAUGACGGUACCCGGAGAAGAAGCCCCGGCUAACUUCGUG